RNAcentral lists this small RNA (154 nucleotides) under Staphylococcus pettenkoferi. RNAcentral describes it as "Manganese sequence". It matches the Rfam family "Manganese Mn2+ riboswitch aptamer (yybP-ykoY)". From Rfam's summary of the family: This RNA was originally discovered in E. coli during a large scale screen and was named SraF. The family was later found to exist upstream of related families of protein genes in many bacteria, including the the yybP and ykoK genes in B. subtilis. The specific functions of these proteins are unknown, but this structured RNA element may be involved in their genetic regulation as a riboswitch. Lineage: Bacteria; Bacillati; Bacillota; Bacilli; Caryophanales; Staphylococcaceae. The record is from RNAcentral.
AACACAGUCAGAGGGGAGUAACUUAACUAUUCGGGUCGUUGAUGACAAUUGAUAAUCAACGCAUAAGAUCGAAUAGCGUCACUUUGUCGUCAUUACGAAGAUUAUUUCUUCCGGUAAAGUGGGCAAAUAUUAUCUGCUAAGUGAGACCUUUGCU